Molecule: long non-coding RNA, 1161 nt
Filed under: Numida meleagris (helmeted guineafowl)
Lineage: Eukaryota; Metazoa; Chordata; Aves; Galliformes; Numididae
Description: lncRNA (ENSNMEG00000002638.1)
Source: RNAcentral
GAUUUGGGGUCAGGGUCCGGAUUUGGGUCCAGAUCUGGAUCUGGGGUCAGGGUCUGGAUUCAGGGGCUGGGGGCCAGAUCUGGGGUCAGAGUCCAGAUUUGGGAUUGGGAUCUGGAUUUGGGGUCAGAGUCCAGAUUUGGGAUCAGGAUCCGGAUUUGGGAUCGGGAUCCGGAUUUGGGAUCUGGAUCUGGAUUUGGGGUCAGGGUCCAGAUUUGGGGUCAGGGUCUGGAUUUGGGAUCGGGAUCUGGAUUUGGGAUCGGGAUCCAGAUUUGGGAUCUGGAUCCGGAUUUGGGGUCAGGGUCCAGCGCUGGGAUCUGCAGUGGGGGCGCGGGGCCCCGCGUGGUUCCUGGUCUUCUCUCAGAUCCCCAACCCCGCGCCCGCUCCCACCCGCGUCCCCAGCCGGGUGUCACCGUGUCACCACUGCGGUGUCACCGGGGCACCGUGUCCCCAAGAAGAGGUCACCACGUCAUGGUGUCCCCAACGUGAUGUCACCGUGUCCCCAACGCAAUGUCACCAGGACGUGGUGUCCCCAACGUGAUGUUACUGGGACAUGGUGUCCCCAACGCAAUGUCACCGUGUCCCCACUGCGAUGUCACCGGGACAUGAUGUCCCCAACGCGAUGUCACCAGGACAUGGUGUCCCCAACGUGAUGUCACCGUGUCCCCAAUACGAUGUCACCAGGACGUGAUGUCCCCAGAGUGAUGUCACCAGGGCAUGGUGUCCCCAAUGCAAUGUCACCUGGACAUGAUGUCCCCAGUGCAAUGUCACCGUGUCCCCAACACGAUGUCACCAGGACAUGGUGUCCCCAGCGCGAUGUCACCGGGACAUGGUGUCCCCAACGUGAUGUCACCGGGACAUGGUGUCCCCAGCAUGAUGUCACCGUGUCCCCAGCACGAUGUCACCAGGACAUGGUGUCACCAACACGGUGUCACCGGGACACGAUGUCACCAUGGAGACGCCAGCAGGACACAGUGUCACCCAUGAGAUGUCGCCAGGGCACAGUGUCCCCAAGGAGAUGUCACCACGCCAUGGUGUCCCCAGCGAGGUGUCCCCAUGCCAUGGGGUGUCACCGUGUCACCGAGCCUUCACCUGGACGUGAUGUCCCCAGCGCGAUGUCACCAGGGCACGGUGUCACCAACACGAUGUCACCACGCCGUGGUG